Molecule: long non-coding RNA, 721 nt
Organism: Gasterosteus aculeatus aculeatus (three-spined stickleback)
Lineage: Eukaryota; Metazoa; Chordata; Actinopteri; Perciformes; Gasterosteidae
Source: Ensembl
GCGUAAAGCUGCGUACGCCAGCUGGCGUCGUGGAUGUUGUCAUGUCGCUGUUAGCAGCUGAGUCGUCGGAGUAAAUCAGCUUCUGUUGGACCGGCGGAUGAUAAUAAUGUGUUUUUAAAAACAAAUUAAUACUAUUUACCGAGUGGAAACAACUAACCGCUUCCACCACAUGUUCGCCAGCAUUUAACGGCACAGAGAAGGAGUUAGCCCGCAGAUAACCUAGCUCACUGGCUAGCUUGCGAGCUAACAGCUUAGCUGGCUCCUCCAGCUGAUGUUAGACAAAUAUUCCACCAACUGCAAUUUAUUACGGAGACUGGUGUCCUGGUUUCUCCUCAGUAUGGCGUCUUCCUUUAAGAUCCCGAAGAAGAAACACCCAACGGCUUCUGAAUCCGCCCCCCUGUACACGUCACCGCUGUCCCGCCUGCAGAGCGCCACCCCCGAAUUAAAGAGCUAUGGGAACCAGUACAGCAGAGCUGACAGGAUGCAUGCUGGGAGCUCAGCAGGCUCCUCAGUGAACAGAGAGAGCGCUCCUCUCUUCAGGGAAGUGGUCAAAACGCUGCUCGGACUUACAGCCAAUCAAAGAGAAGCCUCGGCAGCCAAUCGCAAAGGAGGACGGAGUGCCAAGUUGUCUGCUGCUUCUCCCUCAGUCGGGUGGCGCCCUAAAAGGGCUUCAGACCGCCAGCUGCCUCCUGAUGUGACCUCACAGCCUCCGUCUCCACCA